GGGAGAAUAUAGUGCCAAUUCCCCUGUGGGCAGGUGAGAGGAACUGAACCCCUUUCACGGGGACAUUAAUAAGGUAGUAUGGGCUGCUAUGAUUUCAUUAUAUUGACGCAACCCUUGUCUACACCUCCAUCUCCGCUGGCCCACCCAGUGUUGUUGAGUGCUUGGUUCAGAAUUUGAGAUAUGGACGAGAGCUGGCUGCCUGAAGUUCUGUCCAGAUAAGAUUGAGGUGAUGCUUCUGGGAUGAGAAGAACUUAAAAGAUGGUUAUACCUGAGAGGUCUUCUUCUUCGGCUAUCCCUUGAUGCGAGGAUCAUGUCUGCCAAGGGGGUUCACUGAUUUUGUUUGGAGACAGCAGAGAUUGAGGGGUUGACCAUCCAUAUGAUACUCAAUCCCGAUUCCAUCAGGAAGGCAAUCACGGAUGAGAAUCAGGAUCACGGCAAGGUAAAUGGAGAAGAGUGUUAGAGCAAUGACACACCCUGAUUGGCAUCAGUGCAAAUGAUGAAUGGUUUGGUCUCUGAGAAUGGUGGCAGUCAUCCCAUCAUGGAGUAAUCCGAUGAUGCAAAUUAAUUUCUGGAUCCUACUAAACCGCCUUCUCCCCCUUGCUGAGGAACUCCUCCCCGAAUCACAGUGUGGCUUCAGGCCAUCCCAGGCACAACUGACAUGAGCUUCGUGGCAUGAUAGAUUCAGGAGAAGUGCAGAGAGCAACACCAGGAACUGUUCACAGCUUACAUCGACCUAACCAAAGCCGUUGAUUCUAUCAGUUGUGAUGCC
Long non-coding RNA from Mauremys mutica (yellowpond turtle), 769 nucleotides. RefSeq lists it as uncharacterized. The transcript has 3 exons. The record is from RefSeq and is a predicted model, not a curated record. NCBI's taxonomy places the organism in Eukaryota, Metazoa, Chordata, Testudines, Geoemydidae.